GUCUGAAUCUCCGGCUGCAUGAACGAGCCUCGAUUCACUACAAGCCUGAACUUCUACGACGCGCCUCUGCCAUACCUCCACUGCUGCGCGGCGCAGGAUGUAAUCAAUCCCACAUGUUUCAUCUGCGCGACUCGGGGAUUUGCACUUUGAAUAUUUUUGUACUAUUUUUCUUUUCUUGCCACGCAAAUGGAUGUAAUUUACCAGACAUGACGGGGACUCGGUUUCCAGCCUGCAAAGCCGAACGCACGCUCGACGCGAGGGGAGCCCGAAGUUCAUAAAAGGGAUUAUUUGCAUCUGGGUGCCUGAGACCUUCGGUGCCUGCCGGAUUUUACUUUGGGAUUUUGGGAUUUAUCGCCUUCUCGACGGGAUGGAGAGCCGAGACUUCGCUCCUCCGCACCACCUCCUGACGGAGCGGGGCGCGCUGGUUCACGGCGCCGCGGCUCGGCUGGCGCCGGGCGGCCACGGCUCCGUGCAGCACCCCGCUCACUACCAGCCGGGGAAGUACUACCCGUCGCACCUCUCCAUGGGUGCGCACUCAGAAUGAAUGGACCACAGGGGCGGGGCACCGGCAUGUCGGACUGGAAGACGACCAGAAGUCCCAGAACAGGCUUCUUCUCUGUUCACCGCAGCGGCCGAGCAACUGUGGGGGUUAUGGUUGGGGGUUUGCCAUCGCACACGUCCCCACGCAGACACACACACGCACACACACACACCAGUUAGACGGAAUUGCAUUAUUGGCUCUCACCGCAGGCUUUCCUGAAAUAUCAGCAGCCGUAUGCUUUUAAUUAGUGUGUGUGUGUGUGUGUGUGUGUGUGUGUGUGCGACCAUACAUACCGUUUGUGUCUCAUUCUGACCCACAGGACCCGUCUCGUAGGACCCCAAAAUCCCCUGUUUUCUUUGGUAGAACAUGGAAAAACGUGCU
Molecule: long non-coding RNA, 922 nt
Organism: Gasterosteus aculeatus aculeatus (three-spined stickleback)
Lineage: Eukaryota; Metazoa; Chordata; Actinopteri; Perciformes; Gasterosteidae
Source: Ensembl